UACAGUCAUAUCUCGUUGAAACAACGGUUCUCGGCUGAUCACCAAAGUUAAGGAGCGUUGAGCCUAGCCAGUACCUAGAUGAGUGACCGCUUAGAAAUAACAAGUGUUGUAAGC
Molecule: non-coding RNA, 114 nt
Organism: Acanthosepion pharaonis
Lineage: Eukaryota; Metazoa; Mollusca; Cephalopoda; Sepiida; Sepiidae
Source: the annotation of a GenBank genome assembly